RNAcentral lists this unclassified non-coding RNA (358 nucleotides) under Hevea brasiliensis (rubber tree). Lineage: Eukaryota; Viridiplantae; Streptophyta; Magnoliopsida; Malpighiales; Euphorbiaceae. The record is from RNAcentral.
GUUUUAAAAAAAAAAGCACAAUGCUUAAUUAGUAUAGACUAAAACAGGAUUUGAAUGUGUGGUGUACAGCUCAGCGUAGAGAAUGUCUAUUUUCUAUUAUCAGGCAGAAAUGAAAUCCAGUGAUACAAGACUAAUCCAAAAUAGUGAGAUGUUGCCAUCCAGCCAAAAGAGACCGAGAAGAGAAUCUUUCACCUGAACUCGUCCACUGAAUUUGAAGUUCAGAAAGAGACUUGACCUUGAGACUGGGACGAGGAAGAGAGGUAUGGCUUCGCUCUUCGCGGCCAUGCUGCCAGUAGAGGCGGUGGACUGGAGGCUUCGUUUUUGCUUUCCUCGAACGCACUUUGACACAUGUUUCUUG